AAUGUCGUAACAAGGUUUCCGUAGGUGAACCUGCGGAAGGAUCCUUAAAUGAGAGGGACGUUCGCGUUCCGGGGGUCUUCGGCCCCAUCCUCUUCACCCCGGUGUUUCACCUUAGCCACAUUCCGUUGCUUUGGCAGGCCUUGGGGGCUCGUGCUCAUGCCGCCCGGGGGGGAUGUCCCCGGGGGGGUCGAGCGCUGCCGAAAGCCCAAGUUGACUUCUUGAAUCAACCAUGUUGUCUGAGUGAAAAGCAAAAUUCAAGCAAAAAG
This 266-nucleotide unclassified non-coding RNA is filed under the name plant metagenome. RNAcentral describes it as "partial contains small subunit ribosomal RNA and internal transcribed spacer 1". The stretch from base 1 to 47 matches the Rfam family "Eukaryotic small subunit ribosomal RNA", at positions 1785 to 1831 of the family's 1831-position model. The record is from RNAcentral.